Molecule: unclassified non-coding RNA, 231 nt
Filed under: Hevea brasiliensis (rubber tree)
Lineage: Eukaryota; Viridiplantae; Streptophyta; Magnoliopsida; Malpighiales; Euphorbiaceae
Source: RNAcentral
GGAGGGAUAUCAAUGAGCUCACUCUCCAGCUGAAAAUACUAACAAAAUGGUGCGUGCCACGGGAAUACUUGCUUUCUUAUCUUUGCUUUGCCUUCAUGCUUUUCUACUUACUGUCCUUGCUAGAGAUGUGGCCACCGUAGAGAAUGAUGAGAAGUUUUUGGGUAUUGGAAAGGGUGGUGGCUUUGGUGGCGGAGCUGGUGGGGGUGGUGGCUUUGGUGGCGGAGCUGGUGG